GAUGAACGCUGGCGGCGUGCCUAAUACAUGCAAGUCGAGCGAACGGACGAGAAGCUUGCUUCUCUGAUGUUAGCGGCGGACGGGUGAGUAACACGUGGAUAACCUACCUAUAAGACUGGGAUAACUUCGGGAAACCGGAGCUAAUACCGGAUAAUAUUUUGAACCGCAUGGUUCAAAAGUGAAAGACGGUCUUGCUGUCACUUAUAGAUGGAUCCGCGCUGCAUUAGCUAGUUGGUAAGGUAACGGCUUACCAAGGCAACGAUGCAUAGCCGACCUGAGAGGGUGAUCGGCCACACUGGAACCGAGACACGGUCCAGACUCCUUCGGGAGGCAGCAGUAGGGAAUCUUCCGCAAUGGGCGAAAGCCUGACGGAGCAACGCCGCGUGAGUGAUGAAGGUCUUCGGAUCGUAAAACUCUGUUAUUAGGGAAGAACAUAUGUGUAAGUAACUGUGCACAUCUUGACGGUACCUAAUCAGAAAGCCACGGCUAACUACGUG
This 497-nucleotide ribosomal RNA is filed under the name uncultured bacterium. RNAcentral's name for it is "partial 16S ribosomal RNA". It matches the Rfam family "Bacterial small subunit ribosomal RNA", at positions 28 to 507 of the family's 1533-position model. The record is from RNAcentral.